Molecule: transfer RNA, 65 nt
Filed under: Dipodomys ordii (Ord's kangaroo rat)
Lineage: Eukaryota; Metazoa; Chordata; Mammalia; Rodentia; Heteromyidae
Rfam family: tRNA
About the family: Transfer RNA (tRNA) molecules are approximately 80 nucleotides in length. Their secondary structure includes four short double-helical elements and three loops (D, anti-codon, and T loops). Further hydrogen bonds mediate the characteristic L-shaped molecular structure. tRNAs have two regions of fundamental functional importance: the anti-codon, which is responsible for specific mRNA codon recognition, and the 3' end, to which the tRNAs corresponding amino acid is attached (by aminoacyl-tRNA synthetases). tRNAs cope with the degeneracy of the genetic code in two manners: having more than one tRNA (with a specific anti-codon) for a particular amino acid; and 'wobble' base-pairing, i.e. permitting non-standard base-pairing at the 3rd anti-codon position.
Source: Rfam by way of RNAcentral
GGUGGCUCAGUGGUAAAGCACUUGCCUUGCAUGCAUGAGGCCUUGGGUUCGAUUCCUCAGCACCA